GUCCAACACACAAAACAAGCAGUGAAUGUGCUUUGGGGUGGGGUGACUGCGUACCUUUUGUAUAAUGGGUCAGCGACUUAUAUUCUGUAGCAAGGUUAACCGUAUAGGGGAGCCGUAGGGAAACCGAGUCUUAACUGGGCGAAUGAGUUGCAGGGUAUAGACCCGAAACCCGGUGAUCUAGCCAUGGGCAGGUUGAAGGUUGGGUAACACUAACUGGAGGACCGAACCGACUAAUGUUGAAAAAUUAGCGGAUGACUUGUGGCUGGGGGUGAAAGGCCAAUCAAACCGGGAGAUAGCUGGUUCUCCCCGAAAGCUAUUUAGGUAGCGCCUCGUGAACUCAUCUUCGGGGGUAGAGCACUGUUUCGACUAGGGGGUCAUCCCGACUUACCAACUCGAUGCAAACUACGAAUACCGAAGAAUGUUAUCACGGGAGACACACGGCGGGUGCUAACGUUCGUCGUGAAGAGGGAAACAACCCAGACCGCCAGCUAAGGUCCCAAAGUCAUAGUUAAGUGGGAAACGAAGUGGGAAGGCUCAGACAGCCAGGAUGUUGGCUUAGAAGCAGCCAUCAUUUAAAGAAAGCGUAAUAGCUCACUGGUCGAGUCGGCCUGCGCGGAAGAUGUAACGGGGCUAAACUAUGCACCGAAGCUGCGGCAGCGAACGUAUCACUUAAACUGAUUAAGUGAUACUCAAAUGUAUCAAAACGAUUGACGGAGCGAAGCGACGUCAAUGCGUCCAACAAAGUCGAGGCGGAAACGUCAGGCAGUCAGUUUAAGGAUACGUUCGUUGGGUAGGGGAGCGUUCUGUAAGCCUGUGAAGGUGUACUGUGAGGUAUGCUGGAGGUAUCAGAAGUGCGAAUGCUGACAUAAGUAACGAUAAUGCGGGUGAAAAACCCGCACGCCGGAAGACCAAGGGUUCCUGUCCAACGUUAAUCGGGGCAGGGUGAGUCGACCCCUAAGGCGAGGCAGAAAUGCGUAGUCGAUGGGAAACGGGUUAAUAUUCCCGUACUGGUGAUAAUUGCGAUGGGGGGACGGAGAAGGCUAGGCUAUCCGGGCGACGGUUGUCCCGGUUUAAGAAUGUAGGCAGGUGAAUUAGGCAAAUCCGGUUCACUACAUGCUGAGGUUCGAUGACGAGUCACUACGGUGAUGAAGUAGCUCAUGCCCCGCUUCCAGGAAAAGCCUCUAAGCUCUAGAUUAUCAUUAAUCGUACCCCAAACCGACACAGGUGGUCAGGUAGAGAAUACUCAGGCGCUUGAGAGAACUCGGGUGAAGGAACUAGGCAAAAUGGUGCCGUAACUUCGGGAGAAGGCACGCUGGCGCUAGGUGAAGUCCCUCGCGGAUGGAGCUGAAGCCAGUCGCAGAUACCAGCUGGCUGCAACUGUUUAUUAAAAACACAGCACUGUGCAAACACGAAAGUGGACGUAUACGGUGUGACGCCUGCCCGGUGCUGGAAGGUUAAUUGAUGGGGUUAUCCGUAAGGAGAAGCUCUUGAUCGAAGCCCCAGUAAACGGCGGCCGUAACUAUAACGGUCCUAAGGUAGCGAAAUUCCUUGUCGGGUAAGUUCCGACCUGCACGAAUGGCGUAAUGAUGGCCAGGCUGUCUCCACCCGAGACUCAGUGAAAUUGAACUCGCUGUGAAGAUGCAGUGUACCCGCGGCAAGACGGAAAGACCCCGUGAACCUUUACUAUAGCUUGACACUGAACAUUGAGCCUUGAUGUGUAGGAUAGGUGGGAGGCUUCGAAGCGUGGACGCCAGUCUGCGUGGAGCCAACCUUGAAAUACCACCCUUUAAUGUUUGAUGUUCUAACGUAGCCCCGUUAUCCGGGGUGCGGACAGUGUCUGGUGGGUAGUUUGACUGGGGCGGUCUCCUCCCAAAGAGUAACGGAGGAGCACGAAGGUUGGCUAAGCAUGGUCGGACAUCAUGCGGUUAGUGCAAAGGCAUAAGCCAGC
RNAcentral lists this ribosomal RNA (1948 nucleotides) under Providencia huaxiensis. RNAcentral's name for it is "partial 23S ribosomal RNA". It matches the Rfam family "Bacterial large subunit ribosomal RNA", at positions 1 to 2368 of the family's 2925-position model. The record is from RNAcentral. Lineage: Bacteria; Pseudomonadati; Pseudomonadota; Gammaproteobacteria; Enterobacterales; Morganellaceae.